CCUACGGGGUGCAGCAGUCGAGAAUCAUUCACAAUGGGGGAAACCCUGAUGGUGCGACGCCGCGUGGGGGAAUGAAGGUCUUCGGAUUGUAAACCCCUGUCAUGUGGGAGCAAAUUAAAAAGAUAGUACCACAAGAGGAAGAGACGGCUAACUCUGUGCCAGCAGCCGCGGUAAUACAGAGGUCUCAAGCGUUGUUCGGAAUCACUGGGCGUAAAGCGUGCGUAGGCUGUUUCGUAAGUCGUGUGUGAAAGGCGCGGGCUCAACCCGCGGACGGCACAUGAGACUGCGAGACUAGAGUAAGGGAGGGGGAACCGGAAUUCUCGGUGUAGCAGUGAAAUGCGUAGAUAUCGAGAGGAACACUCGUGGCGAAGGCGGGUUCCUGGACAUUAACUGACGCUGAGGCACGAAGGCCAGGGGAGCGAAAGGGAUUAGAUACCCGUGUAGUC
RNAcentral lists this ribosomal RNA (446 nucleotides) under uncultured bacterium. Its description in RNAcentral is "partial 16S ribosomal RNA". It matches the Rfam family "Bacterial small subunit ribosomal RNA", at positions 338 to 795 of the family's 1533-position model. The record is from RNAcentral.